CUCCCUCCCGAAUGAACCCACACCAAUCGGCUCCCCUGGCUCUACCCAUCCCAAUCUGGUCGACGCCACAAUCUCGCCACCAAAUCCGGCGUCGUCCACUUCCUCUUCCAAUCUUGUGAGCUGCAGUCCGCCACCACCGAUGCCGCCCGGUUCCCGUCCGAAACCUGCCACUUGCGACGGACCGAGGCCGCCGAAGCCGGCGACCAAAAGAUUCGAAGCAGCCGCCCGGAGCUACUUCACCCUUGACGUUGAGGAUGGCGUGGGCCUGAGCUCCUGGCCUUCCCGGGUCCGUCGCCGCUGGGCUCGUUCCUAUUGCUGAUGUGUGCUGAAUAUAACUUGGAUUCCAUGGAUGAUGAUGAGAUUCUGGCGGUAGUGUUUAACCUUCCAAGAAUCACACAAGCAUAUCGUCGUCUUCGGGGACGCCUUUCCUGGCGGUAGUGUUUAACCUUCCAAGAAUCACAUAAGCAUCAUGUCAUAAUGCAGCUGAACCUGAGCGAUGAUGAUAUUCUUUCAAGUUGAUGCGCCUUCUCAUGGACACCAACCCUGCAAUUUUGUAUUGGGGAAAUACACUGUUUGCUUGAUUGAUAGGUAUGCAAUAGCACGACUCUUCGAAUUACAGGGGCAAUAUGUUUUAUAAGACAAGCUAUAAUUGCUCAAGCUGAAUCCUUAUUGUAGAAAAUUAAAUUUCCAACA
Molecule: long non-coding RNA, 693 nt
Organism: Triticum dicoccoides
Lineage: Eukaryota; Viridiplantae; Streptophyta; Magnoliopsida; Poales; Poaceae
Exons: 2
Source: RefSeq, a predicted model, not a curated record